Molecule: transfer RNA, 72 nt
Filed under: Vulcanimicrobiota bacterium
Lineage: Bacteria; Bacillati; Vulcanimicrobiota
Also listed under: 1 other name
Description: tRNA-Val
Rfam family: tRNA
About the family: Transfer RNA (tRNA) molecules are approximately 80 nucleotides in length. Their secondary structure includes four short double-helical elements and three loops (D, anti-codon, and T loops). Further hydrogen bonds mediate the characteristic L-shaped molecular structure. tRNAs have two regions of fundamental functional importance: the anti-codon, which is responsible for specific mRNA codon recognition, and the 3' end, to which the tRNAs corresponding amino acid is attached (by aminoacyl-tRNA synthetases). tRNAs cope with the degeneracy of the genetic code in two manners: having more than one tRNA (with a specific anti-codon) for a particular amino acid; and 'wobble' base-pairing, i.e. permitting non-standard base-pairing at the 3rd anti-codon position.
Source: RNAcentral
GGGCGAAUGGCUCAGCGGUAGAGCACCUGCUUCACAUGUAGGGGGUCACAGGUUCAAAUCCUGUUUCGCCCA